Molecule: ribosomal RNA, 257 nt
Filed under: uncultured bacterium
Lineage: Bacteria
Description: partial 16S ribosomal RNA
Rfam family: Bacterial small subunit ribosomal RNA
Source: RNAcentral
UACGUAGGGUGCUAGCGUUGUCCGGAUUUAUUGGGCGUAAAGGGCUCGUAGGCGGCGUGUCGCGUCGGGAGUGAAAGCCCGCUGCUUAACGGCGGGUUGGCUUCCGGUACGGGCAUCGCUGGAGUGCGGCAGGGGAGACUGGAAUUCCGUGGUGUAGCGGUGGAAUGCGCAGAUAGUCAGGAGGAACACCGGUGGCGAAGGCGGGUCUCUGGGCAGUAACUGACGCUGGAGGAGCGAAAGCGUGGGGAGCGAACAGG